UAGGGAAUCUUCGGCAAUGGGGGCAACCCUGACCGAGCAACGCCGCGUGAGUGAAGAAGGUUUUCGGAUCGUAAAGCUCUGUUGUAAGAGAAGAACGUGUGUGAGAGUGGAAAGCUCACACAGUGACGGUAACUUACCAGAAAGGGACGGCUAACUACGUGCCAG
RNAcentral lists this ribosomal RNA (165 nucleotides) under uncultured bacterium. Its description in RNAcentral is "partial 16S rRNA". It matches the Rfam family "Bacterial small subunit ribosomal RNA", at positions 355 to 511 of the family's 1533-position model. The record is from RNAcentral.